Molecule: ribosomal RNA, 253 nt
Filed under: uncultured bacterium
Lineage: Bacteria
Description: partial 16S ribosomal RNA
Rfam family: Bacterial small subunit ribosomal RNA
Source: RNAcentral
UACAGAGGGGGCAAGCGUUAUUCGGAAUUAUUGGGCGUAAAGGGCGCGUAGGCGGCUUUGCAAGUGACGGGUGAAAUCCCUCGGCUUAACCGAGGAACUGCCUGUCAGACUGCAUGGCUUGAGACCGGGAGAGGUGAGUGGAAUUCCCAGUGUAGCGGUGAAAUGCGUAGAUAUUGGGAGGAACACCAGUGGCGAAGGCGAGUCUCUGGACGAUACCUGACGCUGAGGCACGAAAGCCAGGGGAGCAAACGGG